Molecule: long non-coding RNA, 1787 nt
Organism: Loxodonta africana (African savanna elephant)
Lineage: Eukaryota; Metazoa; Chordata; Mammalia; Proboscidea; Elephantidae
Exons: 7
Source: RefSeq, a predicted model, not a curated record
UCCAGUAAAAAUUCUCCUUGUUUUUUAUGUGGUGGUUUUAAAUACUUCAGUUAGUACGUGUUCAAAUUCCCCUGGGUGACCACAUUAUGGGGGGGAGGGGUAAGUUCAUGCACUCCAGUAGGAAGAACUGGUGAGCUUCUGUCAGCCGAAUAUUCGCAGAUCUAAAGAGGAUGAUUCUAACAAUUUCCUGCACCAAGACCUCACAGUGUGAUCCGGAGCUCUACCAGUACCAGAUGAAGAAACUGAGGUACUGACAGGACUGAGUCUCACAGUGAGUAAGCGAUGGAACUAGGAUGAGGCUCUCUAGCACAGGUGUUACAUUGUUAAAGAAACAAAUACAGCAUCGAUAAGAGUCACAGAGCUUCCCAACGGCUGAGGUCAAGGCUGAAGUCAAAGGCACUAAGUUAAUACUGGAUUAAGAUGUUAUCACAGUUUCUUUAGAAGAAAUUCAGUCCCGUGAACCAUUGGAACAAAAACAGUUUCCCAAGAGGACCUUAACCCUGGAAAGAUGUCAUCAGCUAACAUUCGUUCAUACUGGAGUAUGGUGGGUCCUAAUCCAACCUGGAUGUCGUCCCUAUAAAAGAGAAGAGACACAGGGCCCUAAGAAAUGAAUAUGGGGUUAUAUGAGAAUAGGGAUGUGAAUGAAUGGAGCACGAGGCCUGGGACACUGGAGACUUAGCAGAUUUAAUCUCCCCUCUUGAGGAUAACUACCCUGCAGUAACCUUGCUUAGACCUCAGGAGAACCGCAGCUGGUAAGAACAAUGACAAGGUCAGAGGAAAAUUCUGGGUAUGCUUUAUAGAUGAACUUCCGUAAAAGCAAGACCAGAAAUCUUACACACAACCUGACAAGAGAAAAGAAAACCCCGCGCAUAGUGCUUCCAUAAAAGGCAGGCCUACAAAGAAUCUUAAAAAGAUCUUCCUGCUUCCACCCCUCGUGUCUGAGACCCUGCGAGGCAUCAGCAGAAAGAUUCAUACCAGCCCUGUUCAGUGAGAACACAGAGUCCCGAGCUGAGUUUGGCUCGUGGGCAUCUUUGUAUUUCUCACCUUCCAUGAUGGGAGAAACAGAGAACUAGCUUGCUAAUAAGUUAAAAGCAAAUACAGAGGAAACUCUGAAAAUCUGGAGAAUGCCCCUGUUACAUAUAACUCUCUGACAGAUGAACUACCAAGUAAUAAAGCAAAAAUAUGUGGGAACAAAAGGAAGCAAAGGUAUAAAAUAGAACACUGGAAAAACCUAAUAAUGGGAAGAAAUAAGGCCACCGGAGAGGCUACUAUUAAACCACUAUAUUUUCAAAUAAUAACAAGGCUGAACAUCACCUUCUGAGACUUCAUAAAAUGGGAUUCGGACCUACUGCCUGCUGACAAUUAAAGUCAAAAACAGAAAAGAAGGUGCAAAUCAAUGCCCCAGGGUUGCUCUGGUGGAAAAGUAUUGUAUUCUCUCAGAAGACGACGAAACAGGCUAGAGAGGGAAAUGCACAAGUUCUCUGUGGAUUUUCCAAGAGGUUCUUUCUAGUCCCAUAGGAAAACAGGUGAGCAUGGUAGAUGUAAAGUUGGACAUUCUCAGAUUCUAGAAAAAUAUUGCUGGGACAAGUAGCUAAUUUCUUUCCUCCUUCAUCUGACCAUUUUCCGACAAGCACCUUUACUAGCAAAUAAAGAGUUUACUGUCUUCUCUAAACAAAAUCAGUGAGAUUUACGUUUUCUAUCUGAACUACGAUUGCUUCUCUAUUGUUUCUGUUCACAGGUAUGUCCUUUUAGCAAGUAAAUAAAGACAUUCUUGGGGGUAUAUUAAA